Molecule: ribosomal RNA, 386 nt
Filed under: uncultured bacterium
Lineage: Bacteria
Description: bacterial SSU rRNA
Rfam family: Bacterial small subunit ribosomal RNA
Source: RNAcentral
AUUGAACGCUGGCGGAAUGCUUUACACAUGCAAGUCGAACGGCAGCACGGGGCAACCUGGUGGCGAGUGGCGAACGGGUGAGUAAUAUAUCGGAACGUGCCCAAUCGUGGGGGAUAACGUAGCGAAAGUUACGCUAAUACCGCAUACGAUCUACGGAUGAAAGCGGGGAUCGCAAGACCUCGCGCGAAUGGAGCGGCCGAUAUCAGAUUAGGUAGUUGGUGGGGUAAAGGCUCACCAAGCCAACGAUCUGUAGCUGGUCUGAGAGGACGACCAGCCACACUGGAACUGAGACACGGUCCAGACUCCUACGGGAGGCAGCAGUGGGGAAUUUUGGACAAUGGGCGCAAGCCUGAUCCAGCCAUUCCGCGUGCAGGAUGAAGGCCUUC